This is a long non-coding RNA of Ostrinia furnacalis (Asian corn borer), 433 nucleotides long. RefSeq lists it as uncharacterized. Lineage: Eukaryota; Metazoa; Arthropoda; Insecta; Lepidoptera; Crambidae. The record is from RefSeq and is a predicted model, not a curated record. The transcript has 2 exons.
GCGAGUCGUCUGAUUUUUGCUUCCUAACUUUUCAACAAAAAUGUAUUUAAAGUUACUUGUUUUAGUAUUUGCGCUAAUUAGCAUUAGCAACGUUGAAGCCUCCCACGGAUAUGACUUCGGCGACUUUUUGGCCACGGUGUUGGGCCUGGGUAUUGCAGUUAUAGGUAUUCUUGCGUGUUUAGGCAACUACGCACGACAAAAAGCCAGGAACGAGUUCAUCUAAAUAAUCGCUGUAGUGUAGAUGUGAAGUGCACAAGGGGCUAAAGGAUCUACCCUCACUUAUUGUAUUAAAAUUUGAUGAUAGCAAAAUGGAAAUAUGCCACUUAUAUUCGAAUAUUAUUUUUAAGCAUAGUAGAUGUCAUAAGAAAUUGUGAUUAUUUUUAAAUAUUAUUACCAAUUAUGUAUGAGGUUAAUUAAACCACCUUUACAAUAA